ACAACCCAGUUUCCAUGGCAUAAUCACUUUCACGAUUUCAAAAGUCACUCCUUCUCUUUCAGGACCCAAAAAACAAAAUGAAGAACAAAGGGAUUAAAUCGAUUUCAUCUCCAAGAUUCAACAUCCUUCGUCUUCUGCAUCCUCGCCAAUUGCGUACUUCAAAUCCAUCUUUGCGCCGUAUUUUCAUUCUUGGCUUCGCGUCGAUUGUGGUUGAGUGAUGCUCCACAGAUUCGUCAUAUUUCUCGCUCCAAUACGAUUUGCAGGUCGGCCGUUGCAACCAAAUGGCACCGCCGCUCUCACUCCGUUGUGUAAGGAUCCCGACCACGAAUCACGAACAAACAUCGCUGAAUCCGCGCCCCGCUUUGCCGUCGUAAUCCAAUUCCGAACCAACGAUUUAUGCGAAUAAUAGAACAAAUGAAGAGCGAGGACCUACCAUGUAUUGCAUUGUCGUUGACGAUGAAGACGACGUUUUCAGAUGCACUUAUUGCUUCGGUUUCUCAAGUGGCGAUCGAUCUCGGAGAGAAUUCAAGGAUUGAAUUUGACAGAGUGAAGAUCUUGGUGAGAAUUCUGAGAUGAGGUCGUGAGGACUUGGCGAGCGUUGAAGCGUGAGAGGUUCAGGUUCGUGAGGAUUUGCAAAAUGAAGAUGAAGUUUUUUGUGAAUCAUUGUGUGUAAAAAAAAUGUCUGCAGAAUGAAUGAAUUCAUACCCUGUUUAUGUUAUAAAAUGCAUAUCAAAUUCAAUUCAAAUUUCCUUGAAAAUGAAGAAGUUUGUUGGAUGUAACAAACUGUUUUAGAGUUGGUUACGAAUUCGUUUCGGUUCAGCUGAUUCUGUGUGAUUCUAUUCAUUGGCUUAUGGUGGUUUUUCCCUUUUUUUUCUGGCUGAAACGCAAGCAUAUGGUGAUUAAUUCUGUGCAUGUUUUGAAAGUUAAUAUCGUUUUGGAUCCUGUUGUUCAAUUUGGCUUCGCAAAUGCGUUUCACUUGGUUGCGGUUUUGGCUCUGUAACAUGUUCUGGUGGCUGCGUUUCGAAUGUGUACGGCACUGCGUUUCUGUUGUUUAUGCUCAUACUACGUUGCUGGGUUUCUGUUGUUUGGCUUGUAAAGCAAAGUGUAUAAUGGAUUUUGAUAUUGGUUUAAGUGGAUAACUGGGUAUUUGAA
Molecule: long non-coding RNA, 1152 nt
Organism: Lathyrus oleraceus (garden pea)
Lineage: Eukaryota; Viridiplantae; Streptophyta; Magnoliopsida; Fabales; Fabaceae
Exons: 2
Source: RefSeq, a predicted model, not a curated record